GGGGGCGUAGCUCAGUUGGGAGAGCGUUACAAUGGCAUUGUAAAGGUCAGGGGUUCGAUUCCCCUCGCCUCCA
Molecule: transfer RNA, 73 nt
Filed under: Spirochaetia bacterium
Lineage: Bacteria; Pseudomonadati; Spirochaetota; Spirochaetia
Description: tRNA-Ala
Rfam family: tRNA
About the family: Transfer RNA (tRNA) molecules are approximately 80 nucleotides in length.
Source: RNAcentral